RNAcentral lists this ribosomal RNA (497 nucleotides) under uncultured bacterium. Its description in RNAcentral is "partial 16S ribosomal RNA". It matches the Rfam family "Bacterial small subunit ribosomal RNA", at positions 28 to 507 of the family's 1533-position model. The record is from RNAcentral.
GAUGAACGCUGGCGGCGUGCCUAAUACAUGCAAGUCGAGCGAACAGACGAGGAGCUUGCUCCUCUGACGUUAGCGGCGGACGGGUGAGUAACACGUGGAUAACCUACCUAUAAGACUGGGAUAACUUCGGGAAACCGGAGCUAAUACCGGAUAAUAUAUUGAACCGCAUGGUUCAAUAGUGAAAGACGGUUUUGCUGUCACUUAUAGAUGGAUCCGCGCCGCAUUAGCUAGUUGGUAAGGUAACGGCUUACCAAGGCAACGAUGCGUAGCCGACCUGAGAGGGUGAUCGGCCACACUGGAACGGAGACACGGUCCAGACUCCUACGGGAGGCAGCAGUAGGGAAUCUGCCGCAAAGGGCGAAAGCCUGACGGAGCAACGCCGCGUGAGUGAUGAAGGUCUUCGGAUCGUAAAACUCUGUUAUUAGGGAAGAACAAAUGUGUAAGUAACUAUGCACGUCUUGACGGUACCUAAUCAGAAAGCCACGGCUAACUACGUG